AGAACGAACGCUGGCGGCAUGCCUAAUACAUGCAAGUCGAACGAACUCUUCGGAGUUAGUGGCGCACGGGUGCGUAACGCGUGGGAAUCUGCCCCUUGGUUCGGAAUAACAGUUGGAAACGACUGCUAAUACCGGAUGAUGACGAAAGUCCAAAGAUUUAUCGCCAAGGGAUGAGCCCGCGUAGGAUUAGCUAGUUGGUGAGGUAAAGGC
This 210-nucleotide ribosomal RNA is filed under the name uncultured soil bacterium. RNAcentral's name for it is "partial 16S ribosomal RNA". It matches the Rfam family "Bacterial small subunit ribosomal RNA", at positions 26 to 264 of the family's 1533-position model. The record is from RNAcentral.